UACGGGGGGGGCAAGCGUUGUUCGGAAUUACUGGGCGUAAAGGGCUCGUAGGCGGCCAACUAAGUCGGAUGUGAAAUCCCCAGGCUUAACCUGGGAACUGCGUUUGAUACGGAUGGGCUAGAGUUCGGGAGAGGAGAGUGGAAUUCCCAGUGUAGAGGUGAAAUUCGUAGAUAUUGGGAAGAACACCGGUGGCGAAGGCGGCUCUCUGGACCGAGACUGACGCUGAGGCGCGAAAGCGUGGGGAGCAAACAGG
RNAcentral lists this ribosomal RNA (253 nucleotides) under uncultured bacterium. RNAcentral describes it as "partial 16S ribosomal RNA". It matches the Rfam family "Bacterial small subunit ribosomal RNA", at positions 524 to 776 of the family's 1533-position model. The record is from RNAcentral.